CCUACGGGUGGCAGCAGUGAGGAAUAUUGGUCAAUGGGCGGAAGCCUGAACCAGCCAAGUCGCGUGAAGGAUGAAGGUCCUACGUAUCGUAAACCGCUUUUGUCCGGGAAUAACGACUGUUACGCGUCCGCGUUUGACUGUACCGUAAGAAAAAGGAUCGGCUAAAUCCGUGCCAGCAGCCGCGGUAAUACGGAAGGUCCGGGCGUUAUCCGGAUUUAUUGGGUUUAAAGGGUGCGGAGGCGGUCUGUCAAGCCUGCUGUUAAAUGCCCGGGCUCAACCCGGGCCUCGCCGUUGAAACUGGCAGGCUCGAGUUCGCGGGAAGCAGGCGGAAUGCGUGGUGUAGCGGUGAAAUGCAUAGAUAUCACGAAGAACCCCGAUUGCGAAGGCAGCAUGCCGGAGCGCAACUGACGCUGAGGCACGAAAGCGUGGGUAUCGAACAGGAUUAGAUACCCUUGUAGUC
This 460-nucleotide ribosomal RNA is filed under the name uncultured bacterium. RNAcentral describes it as "partial 16S ribosomal RNA". It matches the Rfam family "Bacterial small subunit ribosomal RNA", at positions 338 to 795 of the family's 1533-position model. The record is from RNAcentral.